UUUCCUGUGGCUCAGUCAGUAGAAUGUUGUGUUAGCAACACAAAAGUCAUUAGUUCGUAUCUCAGGGAAA
Molecule: non-coding RNA, 70 nt
Organism: Danionella cerebrum
Lineage: Eukaryota; Metazoa; Chordata; Actinopteri; Cypriniformes; Danionidae
Source: the annotation of a GenBank genome assembly